GAUGAAGAACGUAGCGAAAUGCGAUAAGUAAUGUGAAUUGCAGAAUUCAGUGAAUCAUCGGAUCUUUGAACGCACAUUGCGCCCCCUGGUAUUCCGGGGGGCAUGCCUGUCCGAGCGUCAUUACAACCCUCAAGCUCAGCUUGGUGUUGGGCCCCGCCGCCCCGGCGGGCCCUAAAGUCAGUGGCGGUGCCGUCCGGCUCCGAGCGUAGUAAUUCUUCUCGCUCUGGAGGUCCGGUCGUGUGCUCGCCAGCAACCCCCAAUUUUUUUCAGGUUAACCUCGGAUCAGGUAGGGAUACCCGCUGAACUUAAGCAUAUCAAUAAGCGGAGGA
RNAcentral lists this unclassified non-coding RNA (329 nucleotides) under soil metagenome. Its description in RNAcentral is "partial contains 5.8S ribosomal RNA, internal transcribed spacer 2, and large subunit ribosomal RNA". The stretch from base 1 to 120 matches the Rfam family "5.8S ribosomal RNA", at positions 35 to 154 of the family's 154-position model. The record is from RNAcentral.